RNAcentral lists this ribosomal RNA (256 nucleotides) under uncultured bacterium. RNAcentral describes it as "partial 16S ribosomal RNA". It matches the Rfam family "Bacterial small subunit ribosomal RNA", at positions 57 to 305 of the family's 1533-position model. The record is from RNAcentral.
GCAAGUCGAACGAGAACGGGUAUUAGCUUGCUAAUACUGUCAGCUAAGUGGCGCACGGGUGAGUAAUGUAUAGUUAACCUGCCCUCGAGAAAGGAAUAACAGUUGGAAACGACUGCUAAUGCCCUAUAUGCCUAUAAGACAUAAGUCUGCUAGGGAAACGCUUUUGUGCUCGAGGAUGGGACUGUAUGGUAUCAGGUAGUUGGUGAGGUAAUGGCUCACCAAGCCAAUGACGCCUAACUGGUUUGAGAGGAUGAUC